CCCUUAGAUGUUCUGGGCCGCACGCGCGCUACACUGAUGCAUUCAACGAGUCUAAAACCUGCUCUGAUAGGGGUGGGUAAUCUUUUGAAUGUGCAUCGUGAUUGGGAUAGAUGAUUGCAAUUUUUCAUCUUCAACGAGGAAUGCCUAGUAAACGCAAGUCAUCAGCUUGCAUUGAUUACGUCCCUGCCCUUUGUACACACCGCCCGUCGCUCCUACCGAUUGAAUGAUCCGAUGAAUAUCAUGGAUUGAGGAUUAUAGCAGGUUCGCCUGUCUUGAUCUUCGAGAAGUGAAGUAAAUCUUAUCAUUUAGAGGAAGGAGAAGUCGUAACAA
Molecule: ribosomal RNA, 330 nt
Filed under: uncultured eukaryote
Lineage: Eukaryota
Description: partial 18S ribosomal RNA
Rfam family: Eukaryotic small subunit ribosomal RNA
Source: RNAcentral